AUUGUUAAUGCCCUUGUGGCUGUCAUUACUCUCCUUGGAAUUCUAGAGGAGCUUAAAUGGAAGGGGAGGCUGGAGCCAGCCUGGUGCAGAACUUUGACAGUUCGUAUUUUGUCCCAGGGAUCACUUCUUGGGGGAUUAUGGUAUUUGCGCUAAGAGACAAAGUGGACAGAGAGCCAUCUUUAGAGACCUACAGAUCUGGGAUCAAGUUCUGUCUUUGGUAUCACUGGGUGACCCGAGUGCCAACUCUAAUAAUGGGGAAGACAAUAUAGAAACAACUGUGUAGAAACAAGAUAUAUACGGAGUAAACUGGAGGGCAUCUUAGAGGGAAAGCGCCAGCAGUGAGGGGGCCUGGGAUAAGACAAGUCAUCUGGGAAGGCCCCUUUGUUCAAGAGUUCCCUGAUCCACCUGCCCCUACAACACAAGCCACGGCACCUCAGCGGGGAACUAGCCACCUCUGGCAAGACCCUGGGAGUCGUCACUCUUCCCAGGUUAGGAAGAGUGAUCACGAAGCCAAGAGCAACCCUCAGACAGGAGGGCUGAUGGAGGGUUUUCACAUGGAGGAAUUCUGAGGGAGUCUCAGGCAAGAACUAGAGAAGGGAAGGGAGGAGUGGCAGAGAGCCAUGGCAGCCCAGUGUCUGGGAGAUCCACACGGCCCUUCUUCAAAACCAUAAGAAAUGAC
This 679-nucleotide long non-coding RNA is filed under the name Monodelphis domestica (gray short-tailed opossum). Its description in RNAcentral is "lncRNA (ENSMODG00000040833.1)". Lineage: Eukaryota; Metazoa; Chordata; Mammalia; Didelphimorphia; Didelphidae. The record is from RNAcentral.